Molecule: long non-coding RNA, 743 nt
Filed under: Heterocephalus glaber (naked mole-rat)
Lineage: Eukaryota; Metazoa; Chordata; Mammalia; Rodentia; Bathyergidae
Description: lncRNA (ENSHGLG00100047010.1)
Source: RNAcentral
CCGACCCCGCCGCCGCCCCGCGGACCCCGCGCCUGGGCUCCGGCCGCUCCGAGCGAGAACCCAAGCGGGCACCGGGCGUGCGGAGGCCGGCGGGCCCCGUAGGGACCGCCCCCCUCCAGCCGGCAGAGCGCGGGGCCGCCGCAGUUCCUACGCUGCCCGCCGGGCGGCGCCCCGCGCCUCCCGCGCUCCCCGCUCUCGGCUCGCUCGCAGCCGGACACAGACUCUGUCUUCGGCUGCCGGCGGAUCGGACUGGAGCCGCCGAGGCUGCUGCGGAAGAGGAAAAAAAAAAAUGGAAACCAAUAGCCCGGCGGGCGGCGGAGCAGCGCCCGUGCCCCCACUCAGCUCCGGAGUGCGGAGCCGUCCAGGGAGAUGUGGAUCCCACCUGGGACUAGAACCUGGAUUUUGAGAAUUCUUGUUCAAUGCUCUCCACUUACUGCAGCUGAGGGAAAGGGAACUGUCCAUUUAAAUAGCUGAUGUUGGUAAGUGCUUUGGGGAGACAAGGUUCUCUUGAUCUGUAUAGGGCUCAUGUGUGAAUAUGACUUACGGUACAUUGGGAGAAUCAACCAAGAGUGCAAGGCAUCAAGGAGGGAGGUAGAAAGGAGUGAGGGAGAGAGGAAGAGAGAGAGAGAGAGAGAGAGUUAAAGAGGAGGAGGGGAUAUUGUCUGCACUGUGUUCCUCUUGAGGGUGCUGCAGAAACAACGGGCAGGGAUCAGUGUAUCAGAUGCAGCCAGUGUGGGGUUUUU